GCGGGGAUUGCCGAGUGGUCAAAGGCGCUGGACUUAGGAUCCAGUCUUUAGUAGUUCGGGAGUUCAAAUCUCCCUCCCCGCACCA
RNAcentral lists this transfer RNA (85 nucleotides) under Candidatus Heimdallarchaeota archaeon. RNAcentral describes it as "tRNA-Leu". It matches the Rfam family "tRNA". Rfam says of the family: Transfer RNA (tRNA) molecules are approximately 80 nucleotides in length. Their secondary structure includes four short double-helical elements and three loops (D, anti-codon, and T loops). Lineage: Archaea; Promethearchaeati; Candidatus Heimdallarchaeota. RNAcentral also lists the same sequence under 1 other name. The record is from RNAcentral.